RNAcentral lists this ribosomal RNA (1391 nucleotides) under uncultured bacterium. RNAcentral describes it as "bacterial SSU rRNA". It matches the Rfam family "Bacterial small subunit ribosomal RNA". The record is from RNAcentral.
CGGUAAGUUUCCUUCGGGAAACACGAGUGGCAGACGGGUGAGUAAUGUAUAGGAAUUUACCUUCAAGUGGGGAACAGCUUCGCGAAAGUGGGGAUAAUACCGCAUGUGACCGCAAGGUCAAAGUCGUAAGACGCUUGAAGAGAAGCCUAUAUCCUAUCAGGUUGUUGGUGAGGUAAUAGCUCACCAAGCCUAUGACGGGUAGCCGGUAUGAGAGUACGACCGGCCACAAGGUUACUGAGACACGGAACCUACACCUACGGGUGGCAGCAACUAGGAAUCUUGCGCAAUGGACGAAAGUCUGACGCAGCGACACCGCGUGUAAGAAGACGCUUUUCGGAGUGUAAAUUACUGUGGCAGGGGAUGAAUUUUGACAGUACCCUGCUAGAAAGCACCUGCUAACUACGUGCCAGAAGCCUCGGUAAUACGUAGGGUGCAAGCGUUAUCCGGAUUUACUGGGCGUAAAGCGUACCGUCGGCGUCUUGUUUAGUCUUUAGUUUAAACCCAGGGCUCAACUCUGGAAGGGCUAAAGAUACUGGCAGGAUAGAGUCUAUUAGGGGGAGCUGGAAUUCUCGGUGGAGGGGUGAAAUCCGUAGAUAUCGAGAGGAACACCAUUCGCGAAGGCGGGCUCCUGGAAUAUGACUGACGCUCAGGGACGAAAGCUUGGGUAGCAAAAGGGAUUAGAGACCCCUGUAGUCCAAGCCGUAAACAUUCUUUGCUAGUUGCUUGUUCCACUCAGUGCAUUUGUGUCGAUAUUUCGCUCUGUGAAAUACUCGAAAGUGCCUUGAGUGGAAUGAGUGACGUAAGCUAACGCGUUAAGCAAAGCGCCUGGGGAGUACGGCCGCAAGGUUAAAACUCAAAGGAAUUGACGGGGGAGCGCACAACCGGUGGAGCAUGUGGUUUAAUUCGAUACGAAGCGAAAGACCUUACCUGGGUUUGACAUGUAGCUGCACGGUCUAGGAAACUAGAUCUUCUUCGAGAGUGCUACACAGGUGUUGCAUGGCUGUCGUCAGCUCGUGUCGUGAGACGUCCACUUAAGUGUGGUAACGAGCGCAACCCUUAUCCUGUGUUAUAUAUGUCACAGGAGACUGCCCCUGCUUUGCAGGGGAGGAAGGAGAGGAUGACGUCAAGUCAGCACGACCCUUACAUCCAGGGCAACACACAUCCUACAAUGGAGCCGGCAACGGGAAGCAAAGCUGUGAAGCAAAGCCAAUCCUUCAAACGGCCCCUCAGUUCAGAUUGCAGGCUGCAACUCGCCUGCAUGAAGUCGGAAUCGGUAGUAAUCGCAAAUCAGCAGGUUGCGGUGAAUACGUUCUCGCUCCUUGUACACACUGCCCGUCAAACCAGCAAAGUUAGCAACGCCCGAAGCGGGUGACCUGAACUCGUAAGAGGCA